CGCCGGAGUCGUGCCUGAAGCCUAAGGGCCACUUUGAUAGAGUGAACUAUGGGGGUUAAAGUCCCCCCGACUCCU
Molecule: transfer RNA, 75 nt
Filed under: Thunnus thynnus thynnus
Lineage: Eukaryota; Metazoa; Chordata; Actinopteri; Scombriformes; Scombridae
Description: tRNA-Ile
Rfam family: tRNA
About the family: Transfer RNA (tRNA) molecules are approximately 80 nucleotides in length. Their secondary structure includes four short double-helical elements and three loops (D, anti-codon, and T loops).
Source: RNAcentral